Molecule: long non-coding RNA, 2938 nt
Filed under: Brassica napus (rape)
Lineage: Eukaryota; Viridiplantae; Streptophyta; Magnoliopsida; Brassicales; Brassicaceae
Description: long non-coding RNA (BNAP_LNC001575)
Source: RNAcentral
CCACUGCACCUUUUAGGAUGAUGGUUUUGUGGAGACCACCCAGCAAGUCUUCAUAGUCUGUGUCUCCCUUCUCUCCCACAAACAAAACAGACUUCGUCAUGUCAAUUCCCCACCUUAUCGAAAGGUACCUACACAAAAGCCAUUAAGCUUUGUUAUUCUCACCGUGAGAUCAGUAUACACAUAUCGUACAUGGUCUGGACAGUAUACUAAACCUGACUGCUUGCAAUCUUGAUGCACAUAGUGGUAUAACAUUUAUCCUUGUCGCAGCAUGUGUAUAGACAAUGUUGCACCUUAAACCUCUCAUCCGAAGCCUCUGCCUAAGGUCAUCAACUCUUCGAGUCUGCCAUUCACACACGUAGACUUUUAAUAUGUUUUUAAGCUGAGAAAUAUGUUUUUUAUUUUUUAUAGAAAAGAAAUGUUACCUCGACUCCUUGUUUGACAGAAAUUGCAUAGCACCUAGUACUGCAUGCGCUUGUAUACUCUGUGAUAUCGUCUUCUGUUUCAGGUUCUGUACAAGCUAGUCUCAGAAUCACUGACCUUAGACUUUCACCAGGCCAUUUGUAUUCCACAUGAGCUUCAUAGUCUGCAUCAACCUCCAUAUCUCUCCAUGGAUAGUAGAUCUCACUUCCGCUGUUACAAACUAUUGCGUCAAAUUCUUCCAAAUUAAUAAGGUAUUUCUUUGUCAUCUCCACAACUUCUUGCACGCUUGAACCUGUUGCCAGGACGAAGCCUAUUUUUCCUUUGCCCGAUGUCAAACCUGCAGUUUUCAUCACAUUCUUGAUGACAUCUUCCAAAUUCGCUUUGGUGUCUCCGUUGUCAUCGUAGGAAUCAACAGUAAUCACAAAGAGCAUCUGCCUUCUGCCAGGGCUGUAGAGAGCAGAUGGGCCACCCUUCAUAGAAUUCAUUUGACUUAUGGCGUUGACAAGUUUCCUCUGUCUAGUGCUUGCAUCUAGUUCCCCAUUGAGCUUGAAAUCUCCAUCCAUGGAGAAUCUCAAAGAUAUGUCAUCGACAUCACCUAGAGAAUCACUUAUAGGCUCUUCUGGAACUUUCAUUAUGUCGAGACUACUGGUUGGGUGUCGGUUUCUGCAGUGUUCAACAUGGGAAAGGUAGUUACGGCAGUGCUCUGGCCAUGAGAAACGGUGGAUGUUCUUGAGACCGUUCUUUCUGCACUCAGCCCAGAGAUGUUUGUUAGCUACGAGCUUUAGAAGGGCAUCAGAAAUGGCUUGUUGAUCAUGUGGGUCGACUAGGAGACCAUUGUUUAGUGCCUGGUCACAUACAUUAUGUUAAAUUUAGCUUUCCGAAUCAGUGAGGUUUGUUUUUAUAAUAAAGAGAUUUGAUUACCUUGACGAUAUCAACAGGCCCGCCAUUUUUGGUGGCAACAAUGGGCAGACCAUAAGCAGCUGCCUGUCAUACAUAAAUGAUAAAUGGUGGGAGCAUGAAGAGAGGUAAAGAAACAUAACCUAGGAAUGAAUCUGGUUACCUCAAUGAGCGUGAGACCAAACGGCUCUACCAGAGCUGGAUUAAUGAAAACUCCCUUCAAGAGAAAAAAAGGCCACCAUAAGAGAAGGAGGCAACAGCAAGAAUCAUAUAGUAUUAUAGGAUUUUCCUGUGAAGUACCUUUGUUUUGGCUGCUAAACGAUAAAUAUCUGGAACUUCAGAUUGUUUGUGAUGCUUGGGAUAAGCUACUUGGCCGUACAAGUCAUACUGGUCUAUCAGCUUUAGGACACUCAUGAGAACAACUGAACUGCUAUUAGACAUCUCUUCAAUGUCAUCUCGGUUUCCUAGUAUGAGUGUCUGGAACAGGGAGGUUCUUUAUUAGGAAAUAAUUUAGCAAGGCUGUACCCAUUAAAUUAUGUCAGAAGGACACUGUAAUAAUAAGGUAAGAAAUGCUGAGAUACUUACCAAGUUGGCUAGUUCUCGAAGAGGCUGACAUUCACCAAAAGCUUUGAGCAAUGUGGUGACGUUUUUCUUGGGGUCUGGUCGAGACAGCGCAAGUAUGGUUGGCUUAUGAGGAUUUGUGAAAAACCGCAUUAUCUGCAGAUCAUAGGUUAUAUGAAAGGCAUGGAAACAAACACAAGACUGUAAUCUUUCUUUCUUGCAGAAAUGAACACAAAAAAAUAAAUAAAGAAAUACCUCAGACCAUAUUGGAGGUACAGGCUUUUUAAUCUGGUUUCGGUCAGGGCCAAUUAGCGACUUGAGAUCUGCAUCAGCAUCUUGUGAAUCUUGUGUCAAGACGUCAUGGUCUGGACAGUAUACUAAACCUGACUGCUUGCAAUCUUGAUGCACAUAGUGGUAUAACAUUUAUCCUUGUCGCAGCAUGUGUAUAGACAAUGUUGCACCUUAAACCUCUCAUCCGAAGCCUCUGCCUAAGGUCAUCAACUCUUCGAGUCUGCCAUUCACACACGUAGACUUUUAAUAUGUUUUUAAGCUGAGAAAUAUGUUUUUUAUUUUUUAUAGAAAAGAAAUGUUACCUCGACUCCUUGUUUGACAGAAAUUGCAUAGCACCUAGUACUGCAUGCGCUUGUAUACUCUGUGAUAUCGUCUUCUGUUUCAGGUUCUGUACAAGCUAGUCUCAGAAUCACUGACCUUAGACUUUCACCAGGCCAUUUGUAUUCCACAUGAGCUUCAUAGUCUGCAUCAACCUCCAUAUCUCUCCAUGGAUAGUAGAUCUCACUUCCGCUGUUACAAACUAUUGCGUCAAAUUCUUCCAAAUUAAUAAGGUAUUUCUUUGUCAUCUCCACAACUUCUUGCACGCUUGAACCUGUUGCCAGGACGAAGCCUAUUUUUCCUUUGCCCGAUGUCAAACCUGCAGUUUUCAUCACAUUCUUGAUGACAUCUUCCAAAUUCGCUUUGGUGUCUCCGUUGUCAUCGUAGGAAUCAACAGUAAUCACAAAGAGCAUCUGCCUUCUGCCAGGGCUGUAGAGAGCAGAUGGGCCAC